Molecule: ribosomal RNA, 433 nt
Filed under: uncultured bacterium
Lineage: Bacteria
Description: partial 16S ribosomal RNA
Rfam family: Bacterial small subunit ribosomal RNA
Source: RNAcentral
AACGAACGCUGGCGGCAUGCCUAACACAUGCAAGUCGAACGAGACCUUCGGGUCUAGUGGCGCACGGGUGCGUAACGCGUGGGAACCUGCCCUUAGGUUCGGAAUAACUCCCCGAAAGGGGUGCUAAUACCGGAUAAUGUCUUCGGACCAAAGAGUUAUCGCCGUUGGAUGGGCCCGCGUUGGAUUAGCUGGUUGGUAGGGUAAAAGCCUACCAAGGCGACGAUCCAUAGCUGGUCUGAGAGGAUGAUCAGCCACACUGGGACUGAGACACGGCCCAGACUCCUACGGGAGGCAGCAGUGGGGAAUAUUGGACAAUGGGCGAAAGCCUGAUCCAGCCAUGCCGCGUGAGUGAUGAAGGCCUUAGGGUUGUAAAGCUCUUUUACCCGGGAUGAUAAUGACAGUACCGGGAGAAUAAGCUCCGGCUAACUCCGUG